This 426-nucleotide ribosomal RNA is filed under the name uncultured bacterium. RNAcentral's name for it is "bacterial SSU rRNA". It matches the Rfam family "Bacterial small subunit ribosomal RNA", at positions 31 to 501 of the family's 1533-position model. The record is from RNAcentral.
GUACGCUGGCGGCACGCCUAAACAUGCAAGUCGAACGAAGUAGCAAUACUUAGUGGCAGACGGGUGAGUAACAUGUGGGUAUCUACCCUUUGGCCUGGAAUAACACGAGGAAACUUGUGCUAAUACCGGAUAAGUCUUUACGGAGAAAGCUUUAUGCACCAUUGGAUGAGCCCGCACUUGAUUAGUUUGUUGGUAGGGUAAUGGCCUACCAAGACUAUGAUCAAUAGCUGAUUUGAGAGGAUGAUCAGCCACACUGGGACUGAGACACGGCCCAGACUCCUACGGGAGGCAGCAGUGGGGAAUUUUCCGCAAUGGGCGAAAGCCUGACGGAGCAACGCCGCGUGAGGGAUGAAGGCCUCUGGGCUGUAAACCUCUUUUAUCAAGGAAGAAGAUCUGACGGUACUUGAUGAAUAAGCCACGGCUAAU